RNAcentral lists this long non-coding RNA (1322 nucleotides) under Equus caballus (horse). Its description in RNAcentral is "lncRNA (ENSECAG00000056977.1)". Lineage: Eukaryota; Metazoa; Chordata; Mammalia; Perissodactyla; Equidae. The record is from RNAcentral.
GGGAUCAAGCUCUCCUGCCGCCCUCGCAGAAGGUCAAGUCUGGGUGGUCCGGCCGUGCAUUCCGCUCCCUGCGGGCACGCAGCGCCCCCUGCCGUCCCCGGGCCCCUCGUCCCCCCGGGAAGGUGGAGGACUCGGGCUGCGCCAGGGUCGCAAACUCUAGGGCCCCAGGGGUCACCCCGAAACCGUGCCGCCAGCCAAGGUCCCCCCGCCCUCCGGGCAAGAAACCCACAGCCGAUGGCGCUUGGCUCGAGGGCCACGAAGCAUUUUUGCGAACAUCGCAGUCCAAUUUUAUCCUCUAAUGAGAACUGCCGUCGCCUGACACCGAGCCCACACCCAGAGUCAGCUGGUGUCUGGCUCGCUAUUUUUAAAAGGAAAUCCGUUGUAGGCACUGCAUUAGAGAGAGGAAAUCCUGCCCAGACUUGGAACAGUUCUGACAUGAAAAUGUAGACCUGUCUCCCCGGGCCCUCGUUUGCCCCUCUGUAAAAUGGGUCUCUGGCCAGCGCUGGCGUUCGUGAAGCAGCUGCCAGAGGGACUGGCCGUAGCGACGGCCUUAGGAAAUGGGGCGACCGUCAUAUGGCACCUGUUUGCUUCGCGUCACGAAAGGAUGCCCACGGGCCUGCUCGAGUGCAUCUAAAGAUACUGCGCAAUGACCUCGACCUCCAGGAGCUGGCGUCUAGAACAAUCUGAAAACCAGCCUGACCUAAAGGCGGGAAACCUGCAUCAAUUCGAGAUUCCUGAUUAAAGGAAGCGUUGAUGGAGCUCCUGGUGUAUGGCUGCUCCCAGGUGGUGCUGAUGCUGCUAGUUCCAGACCACACGGAGAACCACUCUUCUAAAGAGCGCCGUAUUCUAAAGCCGCAUUCUACGUGUGACUUCAGUUCACUCAUAUGCGAAAGAUAAACACACAGAUACGGAGAACAGAUUGGUGGUUACCAGAGGGGAAGCGGGUGGGGGGAGGGCCAAGGGGUAAAUGGGUGCAGAUGUACGGUGACGGAUGGAAACUAGACUUCUGGUGGUGAACACGAAGCAGUCUAUACAGAAGUGGAAAUAGGAUGACGUACAACUGAAAUUUAUAUAAUGUUUUAAACCAAUGUGACCUCAAUAAAAAAAAAAUUUUUAAGCCACAUUCUAAACCCAGGAGCAUGUGCGUAUGCAUGCAUACAAAUACGUAAGUGACACAUAAAACUAGUGCACACCAGUGCCCCUGCCGCUUCAACCUGGGGGUCACGUUAAAACACAGGUUCUGACUCUAGGUCCAGGGUGGAGCCUGAGACUCUGCAUUUCUAACUUUCCUCUUGGCAAUGGGAAUGCGGCUUGUCCCCGCC